GGUUUGAUCCUGGCUCAGAUUGAACGCUGGCGGGAUGCUUUACACAUGCAAGUCGAACAGCGGCACGGACUUCGGUCUGGUGGCAGGUGGCGAACAGGUGAGUAAUGUAUCGGAACGUGCCUAGUAGCCAGGGAUAACUACGCGAAAGCGUAGCUAAUACACCAUACGCCCUUCGGGGGAAAGCGGGGGACCUUCGGGCCUCGCACUAUUAAACGGCCGAUAUCGGAUUAGCCGAUUGUUGAGGUAACGGCUCACCAAGGGCGACGAUCCGUAGCUGGUUUUGAGAGGACGACCAGCCACACUGGGACUGAGACACGGCAGACUCCUACGGGAGGCAGCAGUGAAAUUUUGGACAAUGAAACCUGAUCCAGCCACCCGCGUGUGCGAUGAAGGCCUUCGGGUUUAUAAAGCACUUUUUGGCAGGAAAGAAACGGCACGGGAUAAUACCCCGUGCAAUGACAGUACCUGCAGAAUAAGCACCGGCUGGCUACGUGCCAGCGGCCGCGGUAAUACGUAGGGUGCAAGCGUUAAUCCGGAAUUACUGGGCGUAAAGCGUGCGCGAGCGGUUCGGAAGAAAGAUGUGAAAUCCCGAGCUUAACUUUGAACUCCAUUUUAACUACCGAGCUAGAGUGUGUCAGAGGGAGGUGGAAUUCCCACGCGAUAAUAGCAGUGAGAGUAAGCCAGAUAUGCGGAAGGCACUGAUAGCGAAAGCGGCCUCUGGGAUAACGCGGCGCUCAUGCACGAAAGCGUGGGAGCAAACAGGAUUAGAUGCCCUGGUAGUCCACGCCCUAAACGAUGUCAACUGGCUAUUUGGGGCCUUCGGGCCUUGUGUGCCGCAGCUAACGCGUGAGUUGACCGCCUGGGGGUACAGUCGCAGAAUUAAACUCAAAGAUUGACGGGGACCCGCACAAGCGGUGGAUGAUGUGGAUUAAUUCGAUGCAACGCGAAAAACCUUACCUACCCUUGACAUGUCUGGAAUCCCGAAGAGAUUUGGGGAGUGCUCGCAAGAGAACCGGAACACAGGUGCUGCAUGGCUGUCGUCAGCUCGUGUCGUGAGAUGUUGGGUUAAGUCCGCAACAGCCGCAACCCUUGUCAUUAGUUGCUACGAAAGGGCACUCAGCCAGACUGCCGGUGACAAACCGGAGGAAGGUGGGGAUGACGUCAAAGUCCUCAUAGCCCUUAUGGGUAAGGGCUUCACGUCGCCGUGGUCGGGACAGAGGGUCGCCAACCCCGCGAGGGGAGCCAAUCCCAAAGAGGCGAUCGUAGUCGGAUCGCAGUCUGCAACUCGACUGCGUGAAGUCCAGAUCGCUAGUAAUCGCGGAUCAGCAUGUCGCGGUGAAUACGUUCGGGUCUUGUACACCGCCCGUCACACCAUGGGAGUGGGUUUUACCAGAAGUAGUUAGCCUAACCGUAAGGGAGGGCGAUUCUGUGGAUUCGGCAGGGUGAAGUCGUAACAAGGUAA
RNAcentral lists this ribosomal RNA (1462 nucleotides) under uncultured Bordetella sp. Its description in RNAcentral is "partial 16S-23S ribosomal RNA intergenic spacer". It matches the Rfam family "Bacterial small subunit ribosomal RNA". The record is from RNAcentral. Lineage: Bacteria; Pseudomonadati; Pseudomonadota; Betaproteobacteria; Burkholderiales; Alcaligenaceae.